GAUGAAGAACUAGCGAAAUGCGAUAAGUAAUGUGAAUUGCAGAAUUCAGUGAAUCAUCGAAUCUUUGAACGCACCUUGCGCCCUUUGGCUAUUCCGAAGGGCAUGCCUGUUUGAGUAUCAUGAACACCUCAACCCUCAUGGUUUGCCAUGAUGGGCUUGGACUUUGGGGGUCUUGCUGGAUUGUAGUCAGCUCCCCUUAAAUGAAUCAGCUUGCCAGUGUUUGGUGGCAUCACAGGUGUGAUAAAUAUCUACGCUUGUGGUUUUACAUCAGAUAACCUUCAGUGAUGGAGGUUCACUGGAGCUCAUAAAGGUGUCUCUCCUCUGUGAGGACAGCUCUUUGAAUGUUUGAUCUCAAAUCAGGCAGGACUACCCGCUGAACUUAAGCAUAUCAAUAAGCGGAGGA
RNAcentral lists this unclassified non-coding RNA (403 nucleotides) under soil metagenome. RNAcentral's name for it is "partial contains 5.8S ribosomal RNA, internal transcribed spacer 2, and large subunit ribosomal RNA". The stretch from base 1 to 120 matches the Rfam family "5.8S ribosomal RNA", at positions 35 to 154 of the family's 154-position model. The record is from RNAcentral.